RNAcentral lists this ribosomal RNA (1346 nucleotides) under uncultured bacterium. Its description in RNAcentral is "bacterial SSU rRNA". It matches the Rfam family "Bacterial small subunit ribosomal RNA", at positions 28 to 1381 of the family's 1533-position model. The record is from RNAcentral.
GACGAACGCUGGCGGCGUGCUUAACACAUGCAAGUCGAACGGAAAGGCCCUGCUUUUGUGGGGUGCUCGAGUGGCGAACGGGUGAGUAACACGUGAGUAACCUGCCCUUGACUUUGGGAUAACUUCAGGAAACUGGGGCUAAUACCGGAUAGGAGCUCCUGCUGCAUGGUGGGGGUUGGAAAGUUUCGGCGGUUGGGGAUGGACUCGCGGCUUAUCAGCUUGUUGGUGGGGUAGUGGCUUACCAAGGCUUUGACGGGUAGCCGGCCUGAGAGGGUGACCGGCCACAUUGGGACUGAGAUACGGCCCAGACUCCUACGGGAGGCAGCAGUGGGGAAUAUUGCACAAUGGGCGGAAGCCUGAUGCAGCAACGCCGCGUGCGGGAUGACGGCCUUCGGGUUGUAAACCGCUUUCGCCUGUGACGAAGCGUGAGUGACGGUAAUGGGUAAAGAAGCACCGGCUAACUACGUGCCAGCAGCCGCGGUGAUACGUAGGGUGCGAGCGUUGUCCGGAUUUAUUGGGCGUAAAGGGCUCGUAGGUGGUUGAUCGCGUCGGAAGUGUAAUCUUGGGGCUUAACCCUGAGCGUGCUUUCGAUACGGGUUGACUUGAGGAAGGUAGGGGAGAAUGGAAUUCCUGGUGGAGCGGUGGAAUGCGCAGAUAUCAGGAGGAACACCAGUGGCGAAGGCGGUUCUCUGGGCCUUUCCUGACGCUGAGGAGCGAAAGCGUGGGGAGCGAACAGGCUUAGAUACCCUGGUAGUCCACGCUGUAAACGGUGGGUACUAGGUGUGGGGUCCAUUCCACGGGUUCCGUGCCGUAGCUAACGCUUUAAGUACCCCGCCUGGGGAGUACGGCCGCAAGGCUAAAACUCAAAGGAAUUGACGAGGCCCCGCACAAGCGGCGGAGCAUGCGGAUUAAUUCGAUGCAACGCGUAGAACCUUACCUGGGUUUGACAUGGAUCGGGAGCGCUCAGAGAUGGGUGUGCCUCUUUUGGGGUCGGUUCACAGGUGGUGCAUGGCUGUCGUCAGCUCGUGUCGUGAGAUGUUGGGUUAAGUCCCGCAACGAGCGCAACCCUUGUUCACUGUUGCCAGCACGUUAUGGUGGGGACUCAGUGGAGACCGCCGGGGUCAACUCGGAGGAAGGUGGGGAUGACGUCAAGUCAUCAUGCCCCUUAUGUCCAGGGCUUCACGCAUGCUACAAUGGCUGGUACAGAGAGUGGCGAGCCUGUGAGGGUGAGCGAAUCUCGGAAAGCCGGUCUCAGUUCGGAUUGGGGUCUGCAACUCGACCUCAUGAAGUCGGAGUCGCUAGUAAUCGCAGAUCAGCAACGCUGCGGUGAAUACGUUCCCGGGGCU